RNAcentral lists this ribosomal RNA (394 nucleotides) under uncultured Anaerolineaceae bacterium. RNAcentral's name for it is "bacterial SSU rRNA". It matches the Rfam family "Bacterial small subunit ribosomal RNA", at positions 983 to 1378 of the family's 1533-position model. Lineage: Bacteria; Bacillati; Chloroflexota; Anaerolineae; Anaerolineales; Anaerolineaceae. The record is from RNAcentral.
UACAUAUAGGUGGUAGGGAAGGAGAAAUACGGACCGGACCCUUCCGGGUAGGCUGUUACUAGGUGUUGCAUGGCUGUCGUCAGCUCCGUGUCGUGAGAUGUUCGGUUAAGUCCGCUAACGAGCGCAACCCGCGUUGUGUGUUAUAUGUGUCACACAAUACCGCCGGUAUUAAGCCGGAGGAAGGUGCGGAUGACGUCAAGUCAGCAUGACCUUUAUAUCCAGGGCUACACACACGCUACAAUGGACAGUACAACAGGUUGCCAAGCCGCGAGGCGGAGCCAAUCCUCUAAAGCUGUCCUCAGUUCAGAUUGCAGGCUGCAACUCGCCUGCAUGAAGUUGGAGUUGCUAGUAACCGCAGGUCAGCUAUACUGCGGUGAAUACGUUCCCGGGGAUU